This 45-nucleotide non-coding RNA is filed under the name Schistosoma margrebowiei. Lineage: Eukaryota; Metazoa; Platyhelminthes; Trematoda; Strigeidida; Schistosomatidae. The record is from RNAcentral.
AUCCAGAUGACGAGUCUGAAAUAGGGCGAAACGCCUGUCCUGAAU